GACGAACGCUGGCGGCGUGCUUAACACAUGCAAGUCGAACGGAAAGGCCCUGCUUUUGUGGGGUGCUCGAGUGGCGAACGGGUGAGUAACACGUGAGUAACCUGCCCUUGACUUUGGGAUAACUUCAGGAAACUGGGGCUAAUACCGGAUAGGAGCUCCUGCUGCAUGGUGGGGGUUGGAAAGUUUCGGCGGUUGGGGAUGGACUCGCGGCUUAUCAGCUUGUUGGUGGGGUAGUGGCUUACCAAGGCUUUGACGGGUAGCCGGCCUGAGAGGGUGACCGGCCACAUUGGGACUGAGAUACGCCCCAGACUCCUACGGGAGGCAGCAGUGGGGAAUAUUGCAUGAUGGGCGGAAGCCUGAUGCAGCAACGCCGCGUGCGGGAGGACGGCGUUCGUGUUGUGAACCGCUUUCGCCUGUGACGAAGCGUGAGUGACGGUAAUGGGUAAAGGAGCAACGGCUAACUACGUG
RNAcentral lists this ribosomal RNA (468 nucleotides) under uncultured bacterium. RNAcentral describes it as "partial 16S ribosomal RNA". It matches the Rfam family "Bacterial small subunit ribosomal RNA", at positions 28 to 507 of the family's 1533-position model. The record is from RNAcentral.